AACAAGGUUUCCGUAGGUGAACCUGCGGAAGGAUCAUUAUUGAAUGAACUUGGUGUGGUUGUCGCUGGCCCUCUCGGGGGCAUGUGCACACCCACCAUUCUCAUCUCUCCACCUGUGCACCUCUUGUAGACCUGGACUUUUGGACCGUUUCUGAACGGUAGGGAACUUGUUCCCCUUAGCAUUUUCCAGGCCUACGUUUUUCAUAUACCCCAUAGUAUGUAACAGAAUGUAAUCAAUGGGCCUCAGUGCCUAUAAACCUUAUACAACUUUCAGCAACGGAUCUCUUGGCUCUCGCAUCGAUGAAGAACGCAGCGAAAUGCGAUAAGUAAUGUGAAUUGCAGAAUUCAGUGAAUCAUCGAAUAUUUGAACGCACCUUGCGCUCCUUGGUAUUCCGAGGAGCAUGCCUGUUUGAGUGUCAUUAAAUUCUCAACCUUUAUUAGCUUUUGCUGAUAAUGGCUUGGAUGUGGGGGUUAUCUUUUGCCGGCUUCUUUCACGAGAGGUCAGCUCCCCUUAAAUGCAUUAGCCGGUGCUCCCGCGUGGACCGUCUAUUGGUGUGAUAAUUAUCUACGCCGUGGAUGUCUGCAAUCAUAUGGGAUUUUGCGCUGCUUCUAACCGUCUGUUCAUUCGGACAAAUACAUGACAAUUUGACCUCAAAUCAGGUAG
RNAcentral lists this ribosomal RNA (663 nucleotides) under uncultured Hebeloma. RNAcentral's name for it is "eukaryotic LSU rRNA". The stretch from base 265 to 418 matches the Rfam family "5.8S ribosomal RNA". Lineage: Eukaryota; Fungi; Basidiomycota; Agaricomycetes; Agaricales; Cortinariaceae. The record is from RNAcentral.